UACAUGCAAGUCGAACGGUAAGGUCCGAAGUGGCAACACGGAGGAUACACGAGUGGCCGCACGGGUGCGUAACGCGUAUGCAACCUGCCCCCGACCGGGACAAAACCAGGCUGGAAACGGCUAGCUAAUAUCCCAUGGUCAGUGCGGAAGGGCAUCCUUCGUUCAUGUAAAGAUUCAUUGGUCGGGGAUGGGCAUGCGUAUUAUUAGGUAGUUGGCGGGGUAACGGCCCACCAAGCCGACGAUGAUUAGGGGUCCUGAGAGGGUUAACCCCCACACUGGAACUGAGACACGGUCCAGACUCCUACGGGAGGCAGCAGUAGGGAAUAUUGGGCAAUGGGAGCAAUCCUGACCCAGCCAUGCCGCCGUGAAGGAAGACGGCCCUAUGGGUUGUAAACUUCUUUUGCCGCAGAGUAAACCCGGUCACGAGUGGUCGGUUGAGAGUAUGCGGCGAAUAAGUAUCGGCUAACUCCGUGCCAGCCGCCGC
RNAcentral lists this ribosomal RNA (484 nucleotides) under uncultured bacterium. RNAcentral's name for it is "bacterial SSU rRNA". It matches the Rfam family "Bacterial small subunit ribosomal RNA", at positions 52 to 518 of the family's 1533-position model. The record is from RNAcentral.